RNAcentral lists this ribosomal RNA (497 nucleotides) under uncultured bacterium. RNAcentral's name for it is "partial 16S ribosomal RNA". It matches the Rfam family "Bacterial small subunit ribosomal RNA", at positions 28 to 507 of the family's 1533-position model. The record is from RNAcentral.
GACGAACGCUGGCGGCGUGCCUAAUUCAUGCAAGUAGAACGCUGAAGAGAGGAGCUUGCUCUUCUUGGAUGAGUUGCGAACGGGUGAGUAACGCGUAGGUAACCUGCCUUGUAGCGGGGGAUAACUAUUGGAAACGAUAGCUAAUACCGCAUAACAAUGGAUGACACAUGUCAUUUAUUUGAAAGGGGCAAUUGCUCCACUACAAGAUGGACCUGCGUUGUAUUAGCUAGUAGGUGAGGUAAUGGCUCACCUAGGCGACGAUACAUAGCCGACCUGAGAGGGUGAUCGGCCACACUGGGACUGAGACACGGCCCAGACUCCUACGGGAGGCAGCAGUAGGGAAUCUUCGGCAAUGGGGGCAACCCUGACCGAGCAACGCCGCGUGAGUGAAGAAGGUUUUCGGAUCGUAAAGCUCUGUUGUAAGUCAAGAACGGGUGUGAGAGUGGAAAGUUCACACUGUGACGGUAGCUUACCAGAAAGGGACGGCUAACUACGUG